UGAUGUUGUGGCAGUAGUCAAGUUUAAUGCUCUGCAUCUCGGAAAAAUAAUUAAAAGUAUCAGCAAAUUUAAGAAGAAAAAUAAAAUUUGAAGAGCCACAAGGCGCAAUUACAAUUUAAUUUCCAAUGUAUUUUCGUUAUAAAAAAUGGUACACGCUGGAAAUUUUAUUUCAAUUAUGGAAGAAUUCAAUUUUAAUAAGGACACGAUGGAAGCCGAUUCUUUGGAGAUGGAGGUGAAUUGAGGUGGAACGACCCAUACGACCUGUAUUAGUAUUAAAACGAACAUAACCUCAAAAUUCAAGGUCCUAGAUCUCCAGGAUUCAAGGUCAUGGAUCAAACAUAACCUUAAAAUUCAAGGGCAUAGGGUUCCAAGAUUCAAGGUUGGAGCUCAAACAUAACCUCAAAAUUUUAGGGCAUUGGUUUUCAGGAUUCAAGACCUUAGUUCAAACAUAACCUCUAAUUUCAAAGACAAAGGUCAAGGGACCGUUGGGUAUGUCCGAUAAACAUAACUUCAAAUUCCCCUAAUCAAGAAGCGAACAUAACCUCAAAAUUUACAUUA
Long non-coding RNA from Leptopilina boulardi, 558 nucleotides. RefSeq lists it as uncharacterized. The record is from RefSeq and is a predicted model, not a curated record. NCBI's taxonomy places the organism in Eukaryota, Metazoa, Arthropoda, Insecta, Hymenoptera, Figitidae. The transcript has 3 exons.